CAUAUAUGAUCUCAUUAAAUGAGAGAGGAGAUUUUACAGGAAGACCAAUCAGAUCAUAACCAGUCAGUUCAACCAAGCAAUUAGGUUUUUCAGGGACGCGGGAGAGCUUCUGAUAAGCAAGGUUGAGUGCUGCUCUCUCAGUCAGAAUAAAUAUCUCAGUUUCAUUGAUUUCAAAGGCUCCGUAUUUCCCAUUAGGCAAAACCCAGCAGUUUGUUUGCCCAUACAUGGUCUCAGGCCUCAAUGUUGCAGCAGCCAAAAACACUUUUUUCCCUUCCAAAACACGCAUUUUAGCUGGAAAAGGUGGCACCACUUCCAUUUUAAUAAUAGUAUACUCUUGAGGCUGAACUCCUUCACCAGUUGCCCUAUCAUGAUCAGCACAUGGCUGACUAUCCAAUGGAGAAUAUAUAGUAUACCUCAUAUCUUUAACAAUCUUACCCAUCGAUUUCAACUUCCUCAUCUGCCACUUAACAAACGAAUCAAAAAACGGAUUCAUAUCUGUGGUCACAAAUGACCUUCUCCAAUCACAACCUAAUCCAAAAGCCUUGAGGUCUUGAACAGCCAAUGGCGGAAAGAACUUCAACCAUUCAUACGGGUUCUGAAACUUUGAUAUCUCACUAUCUGAAAGUCCAAAACUCCUCAUAAUUUCCCACUGAAACAUCUGUCCACUAGAUUUCGAUGCCGCCUUAGACUUUUUACCUUUAAACUUAUCAGGCGCCACAUUGGCAUCUUCAUUUGGGUCAGAUUCUUCUGUUGGGUUAGGUUCCUCAUCCACUACCUCAUGAGGAAAAAUGGGUGGAUCACCAAAUUGUUUGAUUUCCCUAGCAAGUUUAUCAGCUGAAGCCUUGAUUGGCAUACCGGUACAGUGAAAAGCAAAAGGCAAUAACACAUUGGCACCUCUUAAUCUAUGAUAAGCAGCAGCAAACUCGAGUUUCGAAAGCGAAAAGGCAUGGCCCAGAUGUAAAAAACCAUUCAUAUAAGGAAAAGGAAAGUUCCCAAAGAAUUUUUCACCUGGUUGAGGUGGUUUUUCAUUAGGUUCAGCUUUAAACACAUCUUUUUCUUCCCACCAAACUCUAACCUUUGACUCGAUUUCGAGGAGUUUGUCUCUCCUGGCAUAGCUCUUGCCUCCCUCUGUUGCCAUCUCGUGAAACCAAUGGAAACUGUUCAAAACCAAAACAAAAUAAAAUUCAUGAAAAUGAAACAGAAAGAAAACCAAAAAAAAAAAAAAAUGGAAGAAUCUUUGGAAAGGAAAGUGCCUGAGUUUAUUGAGGAAGAUGGUGUUGUGCCUACGAAGAAUCUUUGCUGAGUUGCAACGGAUAUAGAGCAAAUGAGUGGAGAUGAAGGAGGAUAAAGAGAAAAGGGGGAGACUGCGUUGAGUUUCAGUUCCAGUUACAGGGCUAGAUUCUCAUUGUUUGUUUUUACAGGUUUUUAGGGUUUUAAUGAUUAUUAAUUUUAAAUUAAAAAGGCCUGCCCCAACUUUUUAACAGAUCAAGAAACAGACCCAAUGUAGGAAAUAACCCAAUUUCAACAACUUUUAAUCAGACUGAGAAAGAGAAGCCCAACUAGGGGGGCAACUAACUGAACUGGACCAAUCCCAAUCUUAUGCUUAAGCCGAAACCAAAUUCGUGCCAUUUUUCUAUAUUAAAAUGCAGGAGGGGCAAUUUUAAAAAUGAGUAAAACUUUUUAGGUUGUAAAAUUGACAAAAUUUUUAUAUAAGUAUGAUCAAAUUGUCAAAUAUAUUUUGUAUUUGAUAUGUUCACACUGAUUGUAAUAAUAAUUUUCAUAUUUUACUUGACAUGAAAUAAAUAUAAUAUAAAUAUAUAAAUUAUUAUGUCUAGAUUUAGUCUGUUGCCUAAAUAAAAAAAUCUAAUUGUUGUAUAAAGAUAGUUUUUCAACCUUUAUGCUUAUUGCUUUGGAUCAUCUGAAAUUCUCGUAGCCAUAAUUAACCAAAAUUCUGCCAAAUGCUAUGGCCCCAAAAUUUGUUUCUCAUCUCAUUGAAAUAGAUAGUUGCCGACUAAGGGAUCACUUUGUUGGCUUCCAUUUGUUAUCCUGGUCAGUCUGCACUUUUGAGCAAUUUCAUUCGUUCAAAACUAAGCAGGAAUCUGCUAUGCAAAAGUACAAAUCUGGUAUUACAACCAGACAAAACAAGAUUACAUAGGAAAAAACUAAUGCACAAAGAUUCUCCUUGAUUCAGCUUCCAACUUUGGCCGCAGAUGAAUUUAUAGGUUUGUUUUUGUAGUCAUGGACAGACAAUUAAUUCUUGUCCGUCAUUUUUAUUUUCUUGUUUUGGUGAAUACUAAAUAUAACUAUUAUUAUUUGUCCUUCGAAAAACAAGGUCAUUGUACCAUAAUAUUAAGUGUAGCCAAUUGGCAAAGCUAGAAACAAAUACUAAGUAAUUUCAGUAUCUGUUCUCAAGAAGGAAGCUGAUAUCCCUUGAUUGCAGGACGGCGGAUUCUUUGGUGGUAAGGAUAGAGUUGACUCCUGAAAAUUUUCCUGGGAAAAUUUACUUCAGUUUAUAGAAGAAAAUGGCAAAGCCGGCAAUGAGAUUCCAAUAAUCAUGGACAAUUGGCAAAGCCGGCAUGUAUAUGUGAUGGGGACUUUAGCUAUGGAAACCUACUGCACAUUUGAUGUGAAGGUAAAUCAAUACUACUUUGAAAGCUAAAAAUAGUAACUGAAUAAAAGAGAUUUAAAGCAAGAAUAUUUAACAAUAUAUUUGAUUGUUGUUUUUGUGCCAAAAGAGUUUAAAAAAAAAAUGUGUCAAUAGGGAAAGCGAAACUGAUAGCAAAUCACUUUGUAAUAGCAAAGCCAAGUAAGGGCUCAUUUCUUGCACUUGCAGAGGAAAAUUAGACAAAAAUCAUGUUCUUCCAUCACCCCUUUUCACUGGAAUAGAAAAAAAUUGAAGUAUUACAACUGGUUUUCGUUGAUUUCAAAGGUAGUAGGCUGGCUCACAAUUUACCUUGGAUGAACAAUGAGUAAGGUUGGUUUAUAGAAUUCUCUCUAAUGUACAUUUUUUAAUUCCUUAGUGACAAAGACAAUGGGGAAAUUAAAGUCUUUGGAUAGACAUUUCAAAUGCAAAAUUCCAAAUGGGAAGAAAACGAAGCAAUAGUACUAUAAAAGUUGUUUGGGACAGCAAUUAGUGCAUUGAAUCAUUUAAAGCACUUCUGUCCCUUUUUUUCAAUGGUCCAAAGUCUCAACCACAAAGCAUAAAGAAGAAGGCAACCGAAAUGAGAAAUUGUGAAGGAAAAAGUUCAAUGUUCCAAGUCUUCUUUCCUUCCAUCUUAAAAUUUGUCAUCAUAGCCUGCCUAACAUUAAUUUUUCCAGCUCCAACCUUAUCCUUGCAGUCUGCAAUCAAUGUUUGGCCUAAACCGAUACUACUUUUAUGGCCAAAGCCACUUGCCACAUUCCUCUCUCCAAACUUCACCAUCAGUUCCCCCAACCACCAAUACCUCAUCCCGGCCAUCAACCGCUACCUCCGCCUUAUCCAGACAGAGCACCACAAUCCCCUUGUCACCCCUUCUGUCAACAUUUCCACCUCAUCCCCUCCUUUGCAAACUCUUACCAUCAAUAUAAUUGAUCUCACCGCCCCCCUCCAACAUGGGGUCAAUGAAACCUACGCCCUCUCCAUUUCUGAAGUAGGUGCCACCGCCUAUUUGACAGCUGCAACUACAUGGGGUGCAAUGAGGGGCCUAGAGACGUUUUCCCAGCUGGUGUGGGGUGAUCCCUCAGCUGUUCCGGUAGGCUUGUACGUCUGGGAUGCUCCCUUGUUUGCUCACAGGGGAGUCAUGUUGGAUACAUCAAGGAAUUAUUAUGGGGUGGAUGACAUAUUGAGGACUAUUGAAGCAAUGAGUGCUAACAAGCUUAAUGUGUUCCACUGGCAUAUUACUGAUUCACAUUCUUUUCCUCUAAUGGUGCCUUCGGAGCCUGAGCUUGGUGCCAAGGGAUCUUAUGGACCUGACAUGAUAUACUUUCCCUCAGAUGUGGCUAAGAUUGUUCAGUUUGGCUUGGAACAUGGGGUCAGAGUCCUACCAGAAAUCGAUUCACCAGGUGAGCUUGUCAUAACAGUAACUUUUUCCUCUAAAAAAGCGUGGUAUGACUGUUCAUUUUUAUAUUAACUGAUAAUAAUAGUUUCAUGCUUUUAUAUAUCAGUUUAUAAAUUGACAUAUGUAAAAUUUUUGUUGUAUUUUAUGAUUUUAGAGUUGAGUGAAGUCCAAUUCUACAAAACAAAGCACUCUCUUUGCACACUGCACACAACAUGAAAUGAGAUUAUCAAAAUAUUUUUCAAUUGCAAUUGCAGGCCAUACGGGAUCAUGGGCAGAAGCCUACCCGGAGAUAGUGGCGUGUGCAAACAUGUUCUGGUGGCCAGCUGGAAGUCAAGGGGAUGACAGGCUUGCAUCUGAACCAGGAACUGGCCAUCUAAACCCCUUGAACCCCAAAACCUACCAAGUUCUCAAGAACGUAAUUCGUGAUGUAGCCAUGCUAUUCCCUGAACCAUUCUACCAUGGAGGAGCUGAUGAGAUAAUUCCUGGAUGUUGGAAAGCUGAUCCAACCAUUCAAACUUUCCUUUUUGACGGUGGAACUCUUAGCCAGCUCCUGGAAACCUUUGUGAACUCCACUUUGCCUUACAUUCUAUCCCUUAAUCGUACUGUAGUCUAUUGGGAGGAUGUUUUAUUAGAUGAAAAUAUCAAAAUAGACCCCUCAUUUCUUCCAAGGGAACAUACCAUUUUACAAACAUGGAACAAUGGCUCAAACAACACCAAAAAGAUCGUUGAAGCGGGAUAUCGGGCAAUUGUAUCAUCUUCAGAAUUCUAUUAUCUGGAUUGUGGCCAUGGGAAUUUUCUUGGCAAUGAUAGCCAAUAUGAUCAGCAAACAACGGCUAACUCUGGAAAUGGAGGGUCUUGGUGUGGACCAUUUAAAACGUGGCAAACUAUUUAUAACUAUGACAUAACUUAUGGUUUGAGUGAAGACGACGCCAAAUUAGUGCUAGGUGGAGAGGUGGCAUUGUGGUCAGAACAAGCUGAUCCUACAGUUGUGGAUGCGAGGAUUUGGCCAAGAACUUCAGCAAUGGCAGAGACAUUAUGGUCAGGAAACCGGGAUGAGACAGGGAAAAAGAGGUAUGCUGAGGCAACUGAUAGGUUGAAUGAAUGGAGGUAUAGAAUGGUAAGUAGAGGGAUCAAGGCUGAGCCAAUUCAGCCACUGUGGUGUGUUAAGAAUCCGGGAAUGUGCAACACGGUCAAUCCCUUUUGAUUUCAUAGAUGUUUAAUUGUUUUAACACAGACUUCAGAGACCAGUGAAAAAAGAAAUUGAUUCUGUAAUUCUCUUUCAUUUUCAACUUGUAUUUGAUGUUUCAAUUGAUUAGCAAAAGAAUUGUCCUAUAAAUUGCAUAUGUGCUAAAUUUCUUGUUAGUUCUAGCAAUAAGUAGUAAAAGGAUAAAAACAAACAUCUGUUUUUUAGGAAGAAAUCAUGCAAGAGAGUGAAACCCAAAGGCAGGAACUUUUGAGAGAAAUUAUGCAAGUGGAAGAUAGAUGAGGGCAUGACUUACUUGAAAAAAAAGCAAUCAAAGGGAUAAAUACCCAUGAAAUUUGAAAGGAUAAUAAAAUUGAGACCCACACCAAUGAAAUGACAAGUUACAGGGGAAAUAAUAAAAAAAAAAAACCAAAACAUUAAUUAAAUACUGUUGAAAGAGACUAAAAUCCGCUAAUAGUAUAUUAUAUAAAAGAGAUUAAAAAAAAUUAAGAGAAAUUCUUUCAUUAACAAUUAGUAGUGUUUGAUAUUAAGUGAUCACUUCAAAAAUUAUGAUAAUUUAUAUACAAUGAUUAGAUUAUCAUGUUUGAUAAAUACUUAAUGAUCCUAUGUGAUUGUGAUUUUGAAGGAUAAUCUAAUUCUCAUUUGAAAUGAUGAAAAGCUUUUAUCAUCCUAAUAUAUAAAAUUAGUAAUAAUCAAUAUUACUUAUUUAAUAUGUGAAUUAAAAUUUUGAUUUUUCUUAAAAUUAUAAUUAUUUUAUAUUAUAAAUUUUUAUAUUUUAAACUAAUAUUCAUUAUAACAAAUUAAAAAAUAGUUUGAGUAUUUUUUACUUUUUUAUUGUUUUAUAUAUAAUAAAAUAUCUUUUUUUAUUAUAAUUUUAAUAGAUUAAUUUUAUUUUUUUAAUUCAAUUUUUUAACAUAAUUUAUAUUAUAAAAAUUAGUUUAUUUAAUAAAUAAAUAUAUUUAAUAAUUUAAUUAUAGUAUAAAAUAAAUAAAAUAUUGCCAUUUUUUAUGAAUUAUUAUCUUUAAAUAAUAUUUAAAUCAUUAAUUUGUAAUUAUUACAAUAAAAUUGUUAUUUUUGUAUUUUUAAAUAAAUAAUAUUUUAUUUUUAAUAAUUCAAAUAUAAUGAUUUUUUAUUCGUAUGAAUUAAUUAUUGUUAACAAAAAAAUGAUUUUAAAUCACGAAUAAUAAAACUCAUAGUUAUUAAUUUCAUUUUGAUACAGAUCAGUAUGCGAUAACUAUAUCAAAAUACAAUACACCAAGAGAUGAUUUUUUGUACUGAAUUUGUUACAAGAUAAAACUAAUUGUUUUUGUUAGUUUCAAUAAGUUUUAAUGAAUUUUGGUGGAAUAGCUUAUUUUGAUUAGUUAGUAACUGUAAAAUAUAUUUUAUAAUUUUUAACUUAACCUUUAUAGAUUAAUUAUUUUAACCUAAUAAAAACAAAAUUAAUUGACAAAAUAAUCUUUAAAGGUUUAGUUUCUUUAUUUUUUAUUUUAAUUUUUUUUAUACUUUAUCUUUUCAAAUCAAAGUUUAUAAUUUUAUAAUUUAUUUUUUCAAAUUAAAAUUUAUUAAUAUUUCAAUUUUUUUAAGAAAGUAAUUAUGCUCAUUUUAUAAAGUUUAACAAUCAUAAAGCAUUGGUUAACUUUUUUAUUCUCUUUGUUUUUAUCUUAAUAUUUACAUAAAAAAUAUUUAUUUAAAUAACAUAUGAUCGGAUUAAGUGUUUGAAAAUAUUAUGAAAAAUUUAUAAUAUUGUUUCUGAUACUUUUAAACUUAUUUAUUUGAUUUUUGAAAAUAUUGCAUAUUUAGUUUGUAAAUUAUUAAUAGUAUUAUAAUGUACAAGUUUAUGUAUGUUUAUAAAUAUAUUUGUACUAAAACAAAAAAUCCAAAAUAAUAUAUCGAAACAAUUGGUACCGAUAUAUAUUAUUUAAAAAAAAUUAAAAUAUUAUCCAAUAUGAUAUUAAUAACUUUAACAAAAUCACCUUAAUAAUAAAAUCAUUUAGAUGAUUAUAUUUUCAUGAUAAUAUUAAAAAUAACAUCUAAUGAUACCCUUAUUAUAAUUUUUUAAACUUCUUAGGACAAAUUAAUAAGAUAAUACAUAUGUAUUGAAAAUAAAAAAUAUAAUUAGAAAUAAAAAUAUAUUAAUCUUUUAAUUUCGUGGGUGAAAUUAAAAAAUUACACAAAUAAUACAGAAAAACGAACUCAAAAAUUAAAUGAAAGUAAAACAUUUGACACAGGAUUCUGUGGGCUAUAUAAGCCUUUAGAUUUUUUUUUCCAGAAUUCACGGUGGGCUAAAACCCAAUAUGAUCCAAAAUUCAGGUUCUUGGAUCCAUAGUUUAAGUAGCCUAAGAACCCAAACUUAGUCCACGAAAAUCUGUUAACUUUUUCAUUUUCCCAAACUACUUUUCAAACAAUAUUUUUUUAAUUUCUUUCACCAGCAAGUCAGCCACCUGAUUUCGUGAUUCGAUCAACAAACCCGAACCUUUCGAAAUUACAAAACCAAAUCCUGAGAAUCUCAAUUUCCCAUCUCUGAUUCUUUUUUUUUCUAACUUGUUUUCUUCCCUAUUUUCUUUAUGAAAUUAAACUACUAAAAGAUGCAGUCUCUUGAAAGCAUCACAGAUUCCUCAUUUCCUCAAAACCCUAACAAUUCUUCUUCUUCUUCUGUUAAUGGGUUGUAUGGAUGGCUCUUUGAAUGUCAUGGAAUUUGGCAUAACUUAGCUCUUGUUAUUCCUUCUCUUCUAUUUGUUCUUUUCUUAGGUUUUCAAGCCAAAAGAAGCUUCCAAAAGCUCUCUCAUGGCAGGUCUUAUAUCAUGAUUUCUUAUUACGGUUGCCUUUGGCUUGUUAGCUUGCUCAAUCUUGCUUGGUGUUCUCUUCAGGUUUGAGGGUUUUCUUUUUUCUCUAAGUCGAUUUUAAACAUUUGGGUUGUUCUUGAAUUAGCUUGUUGAUUUCUUAAAGGAUGAAAUUAAAUUGCUUUUUGUUGUUUCUAGGAAAUGAAUGCACUUUUUAUUUUUAAUUCUUCACAAGUUUGUUUAGUUUAUAUCCAAAAUACUCUUUUUUUUUCUUUGCAUCUAUGGCAUACGCAACAACUAAAUGGUACCUAAAUUAGUGGAAUGUAAUUUGGGUGUCUUGGGUUCAUUAGAAAUGGCUUGAAAGUUACUAUACUUGAUGAUUUUUCGCGUUAUGGUAAAUUACAAAUUGGAUUAUUGGACAGUUUUCAAGUUUUAGUUUUUAGGUUAGGCUUCUUUGAUGUCGUAUGUAAGAACAAUGCUCAGAAGCCAAUAAUGAUAAUAUAUAGAUCAGUGAAAUGAAAAUAUGUAUAGCAAAAGCCUUCUUUGUCGAGCUUAGAUGUUCAAUAGAUGCGUCUAGGCACUAAGCUUUUGGUAUGGCAUGAGUUUGCGACUAACUCAUUCAUUAUCAUGAAUGGUGUAUAAUAUCAUGAUUGUUCCUUUUUCAUAGUGUAUGUUUCCGUUUCGUAAGCAUGAGUAAAUUUUUUUUUUCUUUUACUUUUUUUUUUCCAUAUGAAUUGUAUAUUGGUGAUCCUUAACAGAUACUGUUUUCUUCUUAAUUUGGCUUCUUUGAAAAUGAGUUGUGUUAAGCAGCUUGGCUGCUUAUCGUUUGAUAGUUUGAAGAGUUAGGGUACUAAACUAUAUGCUUUGAGAGAACUCAUAUCCGCUAGGAUUUAUGAAACAUGACCUGCAUUGACCCUUGAAGAUUCUUAUUCUAGUUGCGAGUAAGUUAACUUUUUCCACUUCAUAGCUGGAUGGCUAAGUUUACACUAUUUACUGAUUGAUGCAGGCCUGGGAAUGCAGUCCUGGAAAGGAAAUGACAUGGAAUAUCUUAUCGUUGUUUACAACUUCUGGGAUGCUGUUCCUGGAAGUUAGCUUGGUGGCAUUUUUACUUCAAGGAAAUUAUGCUAGUGGGUUGGAGGCUUUGACUCGAACAUUUGUUGUUUCGGGGCUUAUUGUUGGUUUGGACUUACUUCUGAAGGUACUUCUUUUAUUCUUGAAUAUUUUAACCUUCUUUGAAGUUCCAUAUCUGUUGCUGGUGAAUCAGACGGUGGUGGAAAAACAAAACAGUUUCUUCCUUACUGUACUUUACUAAAUAGCAGAGUCACCAUUCCUGUGGCCUAUAUUUAGAUUGUUGACCUACUUUAACUUCUUAAGCAAUCUAGAAUGCUAAGUAUGAUUGUUUAUACGUAUUUAAGUUGUUUUAUUUUCUAAUAUGGAAAGACACACAAUGUCAUUCCUUUUUGUGUUUUUCCCCUUUUGAAUUCUUUAUAAUAUUUUUGCAUCAAUGCUUAAUAUGUUGUGACAUUAAUAUUUCAAUGUUCUUUUCCCUCGUUUAGGCUAUUUACCUAUUUGGAUUUGGUGUCCCUAUGUUCACUGACAACACCGAACAUACACAUCAAGUGAAAUGGGGCUUGUGGGUUGUUCACAGGCUAGUGCUGACUGCUAUUUAUGGCUUCAUACUGUUUAUGUACCACUCUAAGUGGAGAGAAAGGUUACCUGGUAUGUUCAUCUAAGUCACAUACAUUUGUGCAGGUUAUUUAACAGUAGUCGCUUAGUUGUGUCACUUGGAAUCUUCUCUCUUGUUCUGCAGCAAGACCUGCAUUCUACAAAUAUGUUGCAAUCAUGUUCAUCUUGAAUGCACUAGCACUGAUUGCUUGUGGACUAACUGGAAAUGGUGCUAGUUUUGGGUUUUGGUAAAUACAAGCUUGAUGCCCUUUUUAAAUUGAAGAAUUCUGUUUGUUAUUUAUAUUAGUAUAUUAUGUUCUUUUCCAAGGGUUUUUUUUAAAAGAAUAAGAUUGACAGGUUGUACAGUGCCACAAUUGUUUGCUACCACGCCUUGUACCUUCCUCUUCUGUAUAUAACUUUUCUGGCAGAUUUUUUCCAGGUAAACAUUUAUUUCGGAUUCAUUGCAAAAAUUUUAUCUUGUUAUUGAUUCUUUAGCACCUUAUAAUAUGUUAGUACGGUAAAAGUAUCUCCAAUGCCUGCAGGAGGAAGACUUGCACUUAGAGAAUGUGUACUAUUCAGAGAUGAAAGAUGCUGGUUUCUUUGAUGCUGACUGGGAGUGAGCACUGUAUCAACUUUGAAUUACUAGAUUCCCUUUUCGUUAGGAUCUGUAAAUGAAAUUAAAUGCAAUUCAGAUUGUAAAAUGUUUGAUGAAAGGGAUGGUUGAUCGAUGCAUGCAUGUAGUAUUUAUAGAUACUGCUCUGGUAAUGGCGACGGUAAUCCUGUAGCUCGUAUAUUUGUAAUAAUCUCCUGUUUUAUAAAUUUAAGUUGAUUGCAAAUAAAACUUGUUCAAUCUUCUUGUAGCAAAAAAACUAGAAGCAUUGUGUACGUUCUUGUAGAAUUUCUCUUUUAGUUUUUGUGUUAUUGUAAUAAAAUUCCAAUUAACAGCUUCAUGUUGAUGGUGUUUAUGCAUACUAAUAGAUUGGUUAUCCUUCACGGUUUCCCUUUGCAUUAUUACCGCAGGUUUGUUGAUAUUUACUCUUUGCCUCAGCUUAAUGGGGCUGAGGCAUCAAAUAUCCGAAACAUUAGCCGUAUCUUUAUUUCUCCAGGCUUCAUUGUGUCGGUCUCUUUAAGAGUGUAAAUGAUAUAUUAGUAUUUAUAAAUUAUUCGAAUUUAAUAUAAAUAAAAUUUUAAUUUGGUUCAAUUAUUAUCGAGUUUGAGUUCGAGUUCGAGUAGCUCGAUUUAUCGAUCGAGUUGAUCUUAAGUAUUUUUAUAUUCGACUCGAGUAGUUCACAAGUUUAAUUGAAUUUUUAUAUUUUAAUAUAUUUUAAUUAUUUUAAUUGAUAAAAUAUUUUAAACUCAAGUAUAAAUAAUUAAGUUUUUAUCGAAUAUAAGAAUUGAGUUUAUUUUUAUAUAUUAAUUAAGAUUAAUCAAAUGAAUUUUAAUAGUUAAAUUUUUAUUUCGAAUCAAACUUAAAUUAAAAAAAAAAAAAUUCGAUCGAGUUUAAAACUUUAAAUUUGAAAUUAAAAUUAAUUUUAAAUUUAAUGUUAUAUUUAUUCAAACUUUAUUGAUUAUACUCUUAAUUUUAUCUAUGUUAGUGAAGCUACGGGACAUCUUUUUCUAAGGCCUCAGUUGGAUUUAACUGAAGCUUCAGUGUGUUGCGUUUUCUACACUUUUUUCCUUCAAUCUCACCGUGAUUCAUAUUUGGAUAACAUCAAUGAUGGUGAGUUUACUAGCGUGAAUCGCACUAAAACAUCAGUUGAAGACAGGACUUUUGGGGUUCAAUGCCAAUAAAUCUUUUUUAUUCACAUUAUUUUUUUUAUAUUCUUAUCAUGCCCUUAAAUGAGUUUUUAUUUAAAAAAACCUAAAAUAUGAUUUUUUUUAACUUAUUUCUCUCUCUUUCUGUUUCUGUCACCAUCUUAAAUUUUUAACCCUAAAUUGCCUCCUCCUUCGUAUUAUCGCCCCUUGCUACUGUCACUUGUUCCAUUUCCCCUUGCUAUUGUCACUUGUUCCAUGUUAAGGACAUUAGAUAAAAAUAUUAUUUGAUAUUAAAAAAUUUAAAAUUUUGUAAUUAUUUAUUAAUUUAAAAAUAUUAAAAAUAUAUAAAUUUAUUAUACAUAAAUUUUAAUUUAAUGUUAAUGUAAUGUUUUUAAUGAUAAUUUUUUAUUUUUACUAUAUUUUAUUUCACCAUUACUAUUAAUUUUACAUUUAAAGAAGGUGAUAAGCUAAUGAGAUACAAAACUCGAUUGGUGGUAAAAGGUUUUUGUCAAAAAUUUGACAUUGAUUUUAAUGAGAUCUUCUCUCCAGUUGUAAAAGAUGAGUUCUAUUCAAGUAGUACUAGGAUUAGUAGCUAGUUUGAAUCUUGAGCUUAAACAACUUGAUGUCAAGACUGCAUUCUUGCAUAGUGACUUGCAAGAGAAUAUUUAUAUGGAUUAGUAAAUUUUGAUAAAAAAAAGUACUUAGUUUUGUAAAAUGAGAAAAAAAAAUGUAUACUUGAAUAAGCCCUGAUAGUAUAAAAAUUUGAUUUUUAUGUAGAAAGCUAUAAAAAAAAGUAACGAAUUUUAUGAGAAUGUCAAAAAAAGAUGGUAAUUCAUAUUAUCUUAAUAUGUGAUGAUAUGUUGAUUGCGGACAAAUUAAUGUUAUAUGGUUCAUAAGUGGAAAACAAUUAUCUAAGUCUUUAACAUGAAAGAUUUAAGUAACAAGGCAAAUUCUUGGAUGAAUAUUAUCAGAUAAAGAGCUAAAAAUUUGUUGCCAAAAAAAAUGUCAAAUGAUUUUGUAUAAUUCAAAACUAUAACAUGCUAAUAUUAGUAGUCCAUUUUCAAAAAUUUAAUGUUGAGUAAAAAAUCUUAUCUGAUGACUAAAGAAAAGUAAUUAGCUAUGUCUAGUAUUUCUUAUUCUUCUGUAGUCGAUUUCUUGAUGUAUCUUAUAGUUUGCACAUGACCUAACAUUGCUUAUGCAGUUGGUGUAAUGAGUAGAUUUCUUUCUAAUUUAGGGAAGGUUCACUGAGAAGUAGUGAAAUGAAUUUUUAGAUAUUUAAAGGGCACCUCAAAAAUAUGUUUGAGUUACGAAAUUUCACAACCAAUUCUAGAAGGGUUUACUAAUGCUAACUUAACAGAUGAUCUUGAUGGUAGAAAAUUUACUUUAGGGUAUUUGUUCACUUUUACAGAAAAAGCUAUGUCUUGAUAUUCUAAGUUGUAAAAGUGUGUUACCUUAUCAACUACAAAGGCUAAGUAUAUUACAAUAACCGAAGCAAGUAAAGAAAUGCUUUGGAUGAAACUUUUUUUUCUUGGAUUGAGGUUAAAUAAAAAAAAGUAUGUGAUAUUUUGUGAUAGUCAGAAUGCUUCAGAUUUAAGUAAGAAUGCUAUGUACCAUGCUAGAUCGAAGUGCAUUGAUUGUUAGAUGUCAUUGGUUACUUUUGAUAAUUGAAGAACAACAGAUGCUAUUGAGAAAAGUCAUAUUUAUGAGAAUGUGGUAGAUAUGUUGACUAAGAUACUUCCUAGAAAAAAGCUUGAGCUCUGCAGUAACUUGGCCAGAAUAGGUUUCUUGGGUAAGGUAAGUUCCAAAUGAAAUUGCCAUGGUAAUGAAUCUCCUUAUAUUGGGGUUAAAUAAAGAUAUUGUUAGGAAUAUGUGGGAUUCAACCCCAUGAUAUUGGUCUUAACCAUUCAAAGUUUUAGGCUACCCUAAGAGAGCCCUAGGUAAUAAAAGAAAAAAAAAGUUGUAUUUUUUGGUAAGAAACAGAGGGUUAAGUGUCAAAUACAAAAAUGAAAAGCCAAAAAAAUAAAGAGAAAAGAGAGAAAAGAGAGUUAGUUAAACAUAAUCAAUCUAUGGUUUGAUUGAGUUAAAACUUUGUCAACAUGUUUGCGAUUCAGAGUUUCACAUUCUAAACAGUAAAAAUCAGGUUUGAAGCUUUUUAGGAACAAAUUUAAGGAAUAUUUGUUGAGUCACCGAUUUGAUGAGAUUUCUUCAAUUAUCUUUCUAGUUAUUGACUAGCUCUAAUUUUAACUAGAAGAGAACUUUGUAUAUUCAUUAUUUAAUAGUAAAGAUUUUUCUAAUGGUUCGUGAAUUUUUUCCUUUAUACUGAAGGGUUUUUCACAUAAAUUUUAAUGUGCUUUAUUUUUCUUAUGUUGUUGAAUGUUAAUUAUUGUUUUAUAAUAUAUUACUUCUGCGUUGUUGUAUUUGUUGCUUUAGGUCUAACAAAUAAGACGUUUCGCCUUAGUUUGGGAAAGCUUAGAGACGUCUUAUAUGAUGCUAAAGAUGUGCUUGAUAAAUUCAGGUGUGAAGCGCUGCAAAAAGAGUUGAUCAAUCGUGGAAGCACCACCACCAAAUUGGUACAAUUCCCUGCCCUCUCUAUUCCAUUUGCAUUCCCUUUAAGGAGAAGUCAUAAAAUCAAAAGAAUCAAUGAAAAGCUAGAUACGAUUGCUAGUGAUUUCAAAAAAUUUAAUCUUGGACUUGAAGAGAAAGUUCAGAACCGACAUGUUAGUCUUAGAGAUGCCCACUCUUUCGUUAUACCCUCUAAUGUGAUGGGUCGAAAUCAAGCCAAAGAAAACAUCAUAGAUGUUUUAGUCAAGCCAACCAUUUUUUAAAAAAUACCCGUCAUCCCUAUAGUUGGAAUCGGAGGUUUAAGGAAAACCACACUUGCUCAACUUGUGUACAACGAUGAAACGAUCACUAAGGUCUUUCCCUUAAAAAUAUGGGUGUACGUGUCAAAUGAGUUUGAUCUUGCUAGGUUGCUCUGUGAUAUUAUUUACUCCAUUACGGAGGAAAGAUGUAAUGGCUUACCAGUUAAUGCAUUGCAAACUCAUUUGCGAAUGCUUUUAAAUGGUAAAACUUUUUUGCUUGUUUUAGAUGAUGUAUGGAACAAAGAUCAUGUAAAAUGGAUGGAACUGAGAGAUUUACUAAUGACAAUGGGUAACUUUCAACAAAGUAAAAUUAUUAUGACUACACGAAGUUCAAAAGUUGCUUCGACAGUGGGUACUAUUGCUCCGUACAACUUGAAUGGUCUUAGCCACAAAGAUUGUCUGUCUUUGUAAAACGGGCAUUUCAGGAAGGGGAUGAGAAAGUUUAUCGAAACCUUAUGAGAAUUGGUGACGAAAUUGUGAAAAAAUUCAAAGGGGUUCCAUUGGCGGUGAGAACUUUAGGGAGCUUACUCUACAUGAAAACUGAGCUUCAUGAAUGGGAAUUUAUAAAAGAUAAUGACAUAUGGAAACUUAAUCAAAAUGAAAAUGACAUCCUACCUAUGCUGAAAUUGAGUUAUAGUCAUUUGCCAUCUCAUUUGCAAAGGUGUCUAACUUAUUUGUCAUUGUUUCCAAAGGACACUAUUUAUGAUACUGAUUACAUCGUCCAAUUCUGGAUGGCCAUUGGACUUAUUGAAGGCCCUAAGCAAAAUGAAGAGUGAGAAGAUGUUGGGUUACGAUAUUUCAAAGAAUUAUGGUUGAGGUUACACAUUUAAAAUCCAUGGCCUAAUGCAUGAUCUCUUGUCAAAUGAGUCUCAAGAUGACUGCUUAACAAUUUAUCCUCAUACAGUAAAUGCUACUGAAAAUACUCGACAUCUGUUAUUUUUGGAUGAUAAUCCAUUAGGAGCUCCACAAUCAUUUUCGAAGAAUUUAAAAGUUGUGCGGACAUUAGUAAUCCUACCUUCUUCAGGAAGAAAUAGGAUAAUUGAGGAACAUUUUGUAAAUGCUUCUAUCUUGAAUUUCGAGUUCCUUCGGCUACUUGAUCUCUCCUCUUCAUCUUUGGAUGUAUUGCCCAAUUCCGUUGGCACCUGGAAGCAUUUAAGAUAUCUUGACUUAUCCAGCUGUCGAAGAAUGAGGAAACUUCCUACUUCUAUCCGUAAACUUCAGAGCUUGCUGACUUUACGGUUAGCUGGCGUUCCACUGAUUGAAGUACCUGAAUGUUUGCAAAGCUUGAUUAAGUCUCAGAUUUCUAGAGAUAGCCACAGAUUCUGUGUUUUUAAGGGAUAUUCAACCAGGAUGUUAGAGUUCGCUUCAGUUGUUGCUCUUGUUCGACUGUGAUAUGAUAGAAUCUAUAUUUGAUGGGACGCAACACCUCACAUCACUUGGAAGAUUGGAUAUCCAAAGCUGCUCUAGAUUGAUUUCACUGCCAAGAAGUCUGAAAUUUCUAACCAAAUUAGAGGAAAUCAAUAUCAAUGGCUGUCAAAAAAUCAAUUUGUCAAUGGAACAAGGAGAAGAAGACCAAGACCUUCAAAACUUUAACAAUAUUGGAAGCAGAAGCGCUGAAGGAUUUGCCACGGUUGCUUCUUCAAGGAUCAGCUAGCCUUUUUAAAUCCAUGCUAAUAAGGAGAUGUCCCAACUUCAAGGUACCAUCAGAAUGGAUGCAAAAGCUCACAUCACUUAACAGGUUGGAGCUUGAAAGUUGUCCAGCAUUAUCCUCUGUUCCCGAAGGACUGAAUCGCCUCACUGCACUUAGACAAGUAAAGAUUCAAAUAUGUCCUGCGCUACGCCAAAAUUGACAACCUGGGGUUGGUGCUGAUUGGUCCAAGAUUGCACACGUUCAAGAGGUUCAUAUUGAAGAUUAGUAGAUCGUCAAGCCGCGCUCAAAGUGUUUACCAAUCUCUCAUUCUUUUUUCUUCCUUUAUGAGAUUUCUUUUUUCAUAUUAAAUUUUCCAGAAUACAGAAUUAUAAGAAAAUUGCUCUAAAUGAUAUGUGCUAGUCAAUUCAUCCAUCUUCCUGAAAUAUCUAACACUUGCAUUGAUUUUGAAAUGAUCAUAGGUAAAUUGGUCCGGAUACUUUGGUAAAAAAUAAAAGUGCAAGCAGGUGAGACGAUUUCAUCCAAUCUAUUUAGCUUGUUUGUUAUCAGCAACAUUUCAUGAGAAUCCUUCAAUUUUUGCUACACUUUUUCAUAUACUAUUACUUUUAUAGGAUCUGUCUGAUUGAGAUUUUUUGCUAAUUAUCUUUUUUUUUUAUGCAUAAAGGCAAAUAAAAAUAUAAUCAUCCGUUUUAAAAGGUUACAAUUAACUAUAGCUAGGUGAUAGAAAUAGUCAUAGCUUGUGGGCUUUCUAUAAGAUGAAUGUAAUUACAAUAUUGUCUUGUGUUUCUCUUUGUAGUUACUGUCAAAUUGAGAUACUUAGGUGCAUGUGUCACGGAUCUAAGGAAGAGUCUUGAAUCUCACAUCGAACAUAAUAGGAGGGUCACUGGGGUAUAAAAGGGUUCACACCAUUUUUGCCUUGUGAGGUGCCUUUUGUAAGACAAAACCGUGAGGCCAGGGGGCUAGAGCGAACAAUACCUCACAAAAAUAUGAACCGUGAUGGUCAGGCUGAUUCGGGACGCCGGAAGGGUGAAUGCUCGGGUUCCGAAACCGUGCGGGUUCGGAGCUUAAGUCUCGACCCGUGACAAGUGGUAUCAAAGCCAGCCCUAAAUCGUUCGAUCCACGCCAAGCACCUCGAGGGAGGUAGACAGGGUGGCCAGCCUCCGUGACAAGGGCAUCACGAGAUUGGGUGCGGGAGAAUGUUAAUAAGGAAGAGUCAUGAAUCACAUAUCGAACAUAAUAGGAGGGUCACUGAGGUAUAAAAGGGUUCACACCAUCUCCGCCUUAUGAGACGUCUUUUGUAGGACAAAACCGUGAGGUCAAGAGGGUCAGAGCCAUUUGGCUUCAAAUCAAACCACUGCGGGUAGCUCUUAUGGUGUGGGAAAAUUCAGCCAAACCCUGCAAGGCGCCGUUUGUUCAAAGCUUUUACUUUCUUUGACGAUCAUGUGUCUUGAACCAGACCUGUUUAUCUGUUUGCCUAAUACUUGCGCUUUAGCUAUUUGUUUGUGUUCUAUCUGUUUGUGAUUGGAUCCUUUGGAAUGAAACCAUCAUCUCAUAACUGUUGGGUGACUCCUUAGGGACAAAAGAACUCUUCUUGCUUGAAAAGGGAACAUCAAGCAUUCAACAUGAAGUGCCCAUUUCUUAUUCAACCCAAUAAGAUUUCGACCUCCGUCGUGUAGUGUAAGAGUUUAGACUAUCUUAUCCCAAUGAAAUUCACCCCAAGUCAUUCAAGACCUUGACCUGAUAUUUGAGUUUUUGGUUUAACAGUCCUGUCGUGUCAGCUGGAUGUUGAGCCUUUUGUUUGGGCGUUACCUUUUUCAGGGCCUAAGCCCCCUGAAACUAAAAGCUACAUUGCCCAUUUCCCUAUUGUAGACACCCAAUUGGGUCCGGGCCCAGAUCAAUUGGGCCUGGCCCAAAUGGGUAAGGCCCAUUUCAAUCCUGUAUAUUUUUUUCUUUUGUAUUUUAUGUAUUCUAUUAUUAUUAUUAUUAUGUAUAUCUUUAUUCAUUUAUUUAUUUUUAUUCAGAUUAGAUUUAUAUGUAUAUUAUUUAUAUAGUUAUAUAUUUAUUAUUAUUAUUAUUAUUAUUAUUUUUGUAAGAUAUUUUUGGAUUUAUCUUAUUUUAUUAUUAUUUUUUUUAAAUUAUCUGUUCUGAUUUUUUCCUGAUUAUCAGAUAUUUUUUUACUAUAAUAUCUUUUUAUUUAUCUGUUCUAAUUAUCUAUUAUUUUUUAUAUUUAUUUGAUUUUUUUUUUUUUUGGAAGGUUGAGAUUGAAGCUGAAGAAUCCUACUGGGAGUGGGGAUUCAAUCUAAAGAGUCCAAUUGGAUUCAAAGACUGAAUCCCCGUCCAAGGAGGAGUUGGGAUUGAUCAGAAACUCCUGAUCAACCCCUAUAUAAAGGACCCUUUGGAACAGUUCAAGAACACACAGAAAACAGUAAGCAAAGCUACUGAUUUGAGAGAAAAGGAGGCGUAUAGGAAGCUAGGAAAAGUUUAGGAGUGGUCUAGGAGUGAGAAAAAAUUUCUAGAAAUUUUUGGCGAAAAAAUUUUCUGGAAAUUUCUGGGAAAUUUCCAGAUUCCGGCAAAAAUUCUGGCGAAGUUUGAAUUUUCCGGCGAUAGUUCCGGCCAAACUUGAAGUUUUCGGCAACCAGCCCAGUUUCCGGCGAAGAAUCCCAGAAACCGGCGAUCUUUCGGCAACUUCCGGCGAACUUCCGGCGAAAUUUUCCAGAUUCCGGCGAGAAUUUCCAGAAUCCGGCGAAAUCCCACCGGUGUUCUUCAGUCUUUAGAGAGAAGGCAGAGGAAAGAAGGAAGAAGAGAGAGAGAGAGGAGGGGCGGUCUGCCGAAAAACAGAGGGUAGUGCCUUUUAUACCCUCCCAAAACGACGUCGUUUUGGCUUUAAGUUAAUCAGAGGAUCCGCGCGUUUUGCCGAAAACCCGACCAGACCCGGGCGUCGACCCGCUUUCUGACCCGCGCGUUUCAGCCCCUCCGAGCCGAGCCGAGCCGAGCCGAGCCGCACCAAGCCGAGCCGCGAUCCGAGCCGCUCCAGGUUUUUUUUUUUUUUUUUUUUUUGAAUUUUUUUGAAUUUUUUUUAUUUGACUUUGAUUUUGAUCUUGAUUUUUUUUUCUUUUUUCUUUAAUUAAUCCGACGACGGAGCCUCUACAAGUAAAAACAGUAGUUUUUCUUGCAUACUCCUGAGGUGAGGGAAUUUUCUCAAUUUUCUGCUAAAAGUAUUAGAGUCAAUUGAGAAUAAUUUCCGAUAAUUAAUUACUUGGCUGAUUUUGAUUUUUUUUUUCUUUAAUUAAUCCGACGACGGAGCCUCUGCAAGUGAAACAGUAGUUUUUCUUGCAUACUCCUGAGGUGAGGGAAUUUUCUCAAUUUUCUGCUAAAAGUAUUAGAGUCAAUUGAGAAUAAUUUUCGAUAAUUAAUUAAUUGGUUGAUCUUGAUUUUUCUUUAAAUAAUCCGACGACGGAGCCUCUGCAAGUGAAACAGUAGUUUUUCUUGCAUACUCUUGAGGUGAGGGAAUUUUCUCAAUUUUUUGCUAAAAGUAUUAGAGUCAAUUGAGAAUAAUUUUCAACAACUAACUACUUGGUAAAAUUUUAAGGCUUUUGGAUAACACAAAUUUAAGCUGGUACCAUCUUUUGAUGGGCGUUGUGAGGGUGCUACAACCUUCCUCACACGUAACCGAACUCCCGAACCCUGUUCUGGUUAGUAGACCUGAACCUAUUCUUUUAGGGACUCUUAAACUGAGGCGUUCCCUAAAAGGACAGAUUCCUUAGGUGGCCAAUCGCACCUAGAUAAAAAAGAUUGGUGGCGACUCCCAAAAGUCAAUGUCUAGCGAUAGAUCCCCGGAUCUAGACGUUACGACAGCUUGGCGACUCCACUGGGGACCUUGAGAGUCAGGCCAGCAAAUAAUUUGUGUUAUCCAAAAGCCUAAUAAAAUUGAACCAUUUUUGUAUAUAUGUGUUAUUCAUUCAUGUAUUUACCUUGUUAAUUAUGUCAUUCAUGUGCAUGUGCAUAACAUGAGCUCUACACCCGAGCUCUGUCCCUCUAGGAGGGAGUAAAGUACCUAUUGCUUUCGUGAGGUCUAAUGCCUCCGCAGUGGCUAGCGAAAUACUCCCACUCAAAUUGAACCUUUUCCGCUUGUAGCCUGUAAUGGGUGAGGAUUAGGGUGCCUUACUAGUCUGUGAUGGACAAGGAUGUAAGGAACAAUUUGAGGACCUUUAGACUCUGACUUUAAAACCACAUGUAGUGAACCUUAAGAGUGCCUAACCCUAGGAUAGAGUCCUUUCUACCCAAUGAUAGAUAUACCCUGAAAUUAGGACACAAAAAAGGUGUUUAUCUAAUCAUUUUGAUUGCUUAACUUUGUGUAUUAUUUUUUGUAAUGUUAUGCAUCAGCAUUACUUUCAUUUCAUUCAUGAAACUAACUAUGUUGUUUGUCUGAUUGUAUGCAUCUGUAUUCUUUUCAUGAUCAUGUUUCAACACAAUCAUUUGCAUUCAUUUCAUGCUAGAUUUCAUUCAAAAAAUGUACAUUUCAUUUGUGUAUCAAAGCAUCAUACAUAAGGCACAGCAUAACAUUUCUAAUCAUGAGUAUGGUACUCAAGGUCCGAGGAUAGCUCCAUCUAGCGAAAACCUUGCUCAUCCAUACAACACAAGAUCCAGAGCAAGGCAAAUGGAGGAGGAAAGUUCUCAUAGAUUUGAAAAGCUAGAAAAAGCUCAGGAGAAGAUUGAAAGUGAACUAAGCAAGAUUCUGGAAGCUCUAAAUAACAUGAAUAAGGGGAAAGGAGUUGAAGGAAGUACAAGCCAGCAAGAAGUGGCUGACCCUUUGUACCCUCCAGGUUUUGGCCCAUCUCAGGUCCAGCCUGCUCAAGAGGUCCCGCCAUAUCCUGGAAUACCAUCAGCUUUCAACCCAGGGCAGUAUAAUAGCUAUAUAAAUCCUGUCUUCACUGAAAAAGUAGCAGAACCAAUUCCUGACCUAGAUGCCUUAAAGGAGAAGGAAAAAGAAAAGAUGAAAGUGGAAGCUGAGGAGAGUUCCAAGAUUAGCAUGCUAGAGCAGAGGCUACGGGCUGUGGAAGGAUUUAGCUUUUAUGGGUCAGUAGAUGCUGCUGGGCUCUGCCUAGUCCCUGAUGUGGUUAUUCCCUAUAAGUUCAAAGUACCAAAAUUUGAAAAAUAUGACGGUACCAAGUGCCCCAAAACCCACAUCACCAUGUAUUGCAGGAAGAUGGCAGCUCAUGCUCAUGAUGAAAAACUUCUGAUGCAUGUUUUCCAGGACAGUCUUACUGGCUCUGCCGCCAGAUGGUAUGUUCAGUUGGAUAGGACUCGUAUUCGCUCUUGGAGUGAUAUGGCACACGACUUCAUCAGUCAAUAUCGACACAUUAUCGAUUUGGCCCCUGAUCGUUUAUCUUUGCAAAAUUUGGAGAAAAAGUCAAAUGAGUCUUUUAAAGAAUACGUCCAGAGAUGGAGGGAUAUUGCUUCACAGGUACAACCUCCACUGACAGAGAAAGAGACCACAGUGCUGUUUGUUAGCACUUUAAAGCCUCCCUAUUAUGAAAAGAUGAUAGGAAAUGCAACAAAGAAUUUUGCUGACAUGGUGAUCUCUGGAGAAAUUAUUGAAAGUGCCAUAAAAAAUGGCAAGUUGAAAGGAGGAGAAACCAAGAAGACAUCAGAAAAGAAAGAAGCUGAAGCUCAAGCUGUGAGCUUUGAUAGACAACAAUUCAGGGGUUAUCAACCCUAUCCAUCCCAAGGCUACUCUCCAUACUAUCCCGCUGUGAAUAAUGCCUCAUCCUACCCAUACCAGUUAGCUUCACAACCAUCUCAUUCAUCCACUUACCGCCUUAACAUUCAAGCUCCUGUAAGAACUCAAGUUCGCCCUACUAACCCAGCAAGUGGCUCGCGAGAACAACGGACUGCUCGAGAAAAACCUGUAUUUGAUCCAAUCCCUAUGACUUAUACAGAGUUAUAUCGAGAGCUUUAUAAUAGCCACUUGAUUGCCCCCAGCCAUGUGGAACCUCUUAAACCACCCUACCCAAAGUGGUAUGAUCCUACAGCCCACUGCGACUAUCACUAUGGAAUUACUGGCCAUUCUACUGAAAAUUGCACUGCUUUAAAGUAUAAGGUGCAACGGUUGAUCAAUGAUGGAAUGGUAAGUUUUGAUCAAGGAAAAGCAACAACAUUCAAUGUUAACACCCUAAGUGAAAGUCAAGAACAGAAAGGAUCUGGAGAGUCACAAUGAAUUGAGGGGCAAGACGUCAAUGGGGAUUUCUUCACCUGAUCAUAUAGGGGGCUAAUUUUUAAUGGAGAUAAGGCGGGUUGAAAGUUUUUUUGUCACUUUAAGAUUUCUUUUCAAGUAAUGUUGGAUUUCUUUUUGCAAUAUGACUUUACUUGUUAUCAUUUUAAUAAAGGCAAGUCAAUGCAUUUCAUUACAUUUUUCUCUUUCAUUUGACCAUUAUUCCAUACCCUGCUACCCUUCAUAACUUCACAUUCCCAUUCUUAAAUUUCAGAUGAUGAAUAUUUAGACAAUGAUAACAAUAAUUCUGGGAUUUAAUUUUGAGAACUCAUCCACAUUAAUAUGAGAAGAUGAUUUGAACAGAAGUAAGCUAUUACUGGAGGAGAAACAGAUAUGUCUUGAAGAUGUGUAAUCUUUUAUACAGAUUCAUGAGCUUUGUUUAAUAGAUGAUGUUCAAGAAAGGUAUUCACAAUUGAGAUGAAAAAUGGCCACCUUUCUUUUACCAUUGGAAAAACCAUUUAUUGCUACCCCUUUGAGCCAAUCAUGAUUUUUUUUCUUGAAGAACCCCAACCAAGGAUCACCCUCUACACUGGAGGGUAAUUUUUGAAAAAAAAAAAAAAAAAAAAAGAGAAAAAAAAAAAAAAACACCACAAAAGGUCUCAAAAAUGAAAAAAAAAAGAGAAAAAACAAAUGCCACACAUGACUUGGGGCAAAGUAAUGAGAAUCCUUUGUGUGAUGAAAGAAAAAAGUAGUGAAAUGAUGUGGGGGCAAAAUGCCAGGCUGCAUCAAAUGAUCCUUUGGUUUUGAACCUUUUUAAUACAUGUUUUGAGCCUAUUAUAUCCAUUUCUUUUAUGACCCUUCCCCUUGGCCUACGUUACAACCUUGAAAAGUCCAUUUGGAUCAAGUGUGAAUACUCAACUUGAAUGAUCAUAUGUUGAGCGAAGGUAUGCUCAUGAGGAAGCAAUGAAAUCAUGGUCUAAAGUUGGACGUAUGAAAGAUAUCAACAAUGGAUGAAAAAAAAAUGAUGAAAAAAAAAAGAAAAAAAAAGGAAAAAAAAAGAAAAAAUGAAAAAAAAAAGAAGGAAAAAAAGAGAAAAUAAAAAAAAGAGAUUCAAAUUGAAAACCUGAAAGGGUGAUUUUAGUAAAAAAAAAAUCAAGUCAAAUGGCUCACAUGAAUGAAAGAUCAAAGACAUCUGAAGAUCCCUCAAAGACUGGGGCAGAGUUCGCCAAGCUCAAGAUGACUUCAACAGUAAAUGGAAUGAGUUUUUGAAAAAGAAUCCUAGAUUAAUGUUGAAAAUUGUCUGAAUAUUCAUCAUUUGGACAUACCAUUCACCUCAAUGACAUCCAAUUUAUUUCAUUUCCCAUUUAUUUUUUACCAAAAUAGAUCUCCAUUGAUUAUCUUUACCAUAAUUCACCUUCUGUUCUCUUAUUGUUUCACCCCUAGAAUGAAUUGAGAAAAUGCUUGAUUGCAUUGUAUUUGUCAGGAUUUGAAAUGAUAAUGAAUGAAUGAAUAUGUGCUUAAAAGAGUCUUGCAUUUAUUUGAAAAGAAAUCUAAGAUGAUGAAGAAAUGGUAGAAACCUAAUAGAGAAUAUGAUGGGGCAAAUCUUGAAAAGUGAUGAAUUGAUUGAUAUGACUUGCAAGAUAUGAUUGAAUGAUGAAGACAAUCAGUAGACAAAGUCUGUUUUGGAAUUGUUGAGGCUGAGACAAGGACCCAGUGAUGAUGGAUGAAAUUUGUUUUGAAAUUUGCUAGUGCUGAAAAAUUCAUUGAAUGAUGGUCAAGUGAUGAUCGAUUGAUGAAGCUUAUUCCAAAGUAUUGAAAAACAGAACAAGAAAGAAUGUGAGUGGAAGAGACAAUUGAGAGCUACACUGGUUCGAUCUUAGAAGAGCAGUGCAAUUGGAUCCUUGAGGAAUCAAAGGGCUUGACACCCAAAAAAAAAAAAAGCUUGAGAAACUUGAGUACCAUACAUUGAACAGGAAUUAAUUGGCCAACAUUUGCAUGGCAUGCAUUGAAAUUCAUAUGCAUUGCACAGCAUACACUACUUUCAGGAGAAUAUAGUGUACAAAUUCAAGAAGCAAGGGUGUUCCAACAUCCCACAUGAAAAAGACAGAUAUGAAAAGACUUUGCAAGUUUGAGAAGAAACUUGUCAGGUAAGUUCCUAAUCCUUGAAAUAGGAUGUCUUUUGGUAUCAGGGUUGAUUAUAAAGACCUUUGGGCAUAAUCUCCUGAAAUCCCUUCAAACACAGCUUUCAACUCCUUUGGACAUGAUUGUCAAGGAGCCUAUUAAUUUCCAAAGUUCCGUUGCCUCUGUUUAGAGGAGCAAUUUAUCUUUUCCAAAGUCGUGGUUGCCUCUGUUGAGAGGAGCAAUUUACUUUUCAAAGUCGUGGUGCCUCUGUUGAGAGGAGCAAUUUAUUUUUUUCAAAGUCGUGGUGCCUCUGUUGAGAGGAGCAAUUUACUUUUCAAAGUCGUGGUGCCUCUGUUGAGAGGAGCAAUUUAUUUUUUCAAAGUCGUGGUGCCUCUGUUGAGAGGAGCAAUUUACUUUCCAAAGUCGUGGUGCCUCUGUUGAGAGGAGCAAUUUACUUUUCAAAGUCGUGGGUGCCUCUGUUGAGAGGAGCAAUUUAAUUUCCAAAGUUCCGUUUGCCUCUGUUUAGAGGAGCAAUUUACUUUUCAAAGUCGUGGUGCCUCUGUUGAGAGGAGCAAUUUUAAUUUCCAAAGUUUCGUUGCCUCUGUUUAGAGGAGCAAUUUAUUUUUCCAAAGUCGUGGUACCUCUGUUGAGAGGAGCAAUUUACUUUUCAAAGUCGUGGUGCCUCUGUUGAAGAGGAGCAAUUUACUUCCAAAGUCGUGGGUGCCUCUGUUGAGAGGAGCAAUUUACUUUUCAAAGUCGUUGGUACCUCUGUUGAGAGGAGCAAUUUACUUUCAAAAGUCGUUGAGUCUCUGUUUAGAGGAGCUUCGGCAAAAAAAAAAAAAAAACAAAAAAAAACAAAAAAAACAAAAAAAAACAAAAAAAAAAACAAAAAAAAAAAUAAAAAAAUCAGAAAAAAUCAAAAAAUAACAAAACAAAAAUAAAAAAAAUCAAAAAUAAAAUGUUUGAGUUGAGUCUGGACUUGGGUGUCUACGUCUUUGCGCAAUUUCUGUUUCACAGAAAAUGUGCAAAGAGGGGCAGCGUAGACACACCAAUUGGGUCCGGGCCCAGAUCAAUUGGGCCUGGCCCAAAUGGGUUAAGGCCCCAUUUCAAUCCUGUAUAUUUUUUUCUUUUGUAUUUUAUGUAUUCAUUAUUAUUAUUAUUAUGCUAUAUCUUAUUCAUUUAUUUAUUUUUAUUCAGAUUAGAUUUAUAUGUAUAUUAUUAAUAUAGUUAUAUAUUUAUUAUUAUUAUUAUUAUUAUUANNNNNNNNNNNNNNNNNNNNNNNNNNNNNNNNNNNNNNNNNNNNNNNNNNNNNNNNNNNNNNNNNNNNNNNNNNNNNNNNNNNNNNNNNNNNNNNNNNNNNNNNNNNNNNNNNNNNNNNNNNNNNNNNNNNNNNNNNNNNNNNNNNNNNNNNNNNNNNNNNNNNNNNNNNNNNNNNNNNNNNNNNNNNNNNNNNNNNNNNNNNNNNNNNNNNNNNNNNNNNNNNNNNNNNNNNNNNNNNNNNNNNNNNNNNNNNNNNNNNNNNNNNNNNNNNNNNNNNNNNNNNNNNNNNNNNNNNNNNNNNNNNNNNNNNNNNNNNNNNNNNNNNNNNNNNNNNNNNNNNNNNNNNNNNNNNNNNNNNNNNNNNNNNNNNNNNNNNNNNNNNNNNNNNNNNNNNNNNNNNNNNNNNNNNNNNNNNNNNNNNNNNNNNNNNNNNNNNNNNNNNNNNNNNNNNNNNNNNNNNNNNNNNNNNNNNNNNNNNNNNNNNNNNNNNNNNNNNNNNNNNNNNNNNNNNNNNNNNNNNNNNNNNNNNNNNNNNNNNNNNNNNNNNNNNNNNNNNNNNNNNNNNNNNNNNNNNNNNNNNNNNNNNNNNNNNNNNNNNNNNNNNNNNNNNNNNNNNNNNNNNNNNNNNNNNNNNNNNNNNNNNNNNNNNNNNNNNNNNNNNNNNNNNNNNNNNNNNNNNNNNNNNNNNNNNNNNNNNNNNNNNNNNNNNNNNNNNNNNNNNNNNNNNNNNNNNNNNNNNNNNNNNNNNNNNNNNNNNNNNNNNNNNNNNNNNNNNNNNNNNNNNNNNNNNNNNNNNNNNNNNNNNNNNNNNNNNNNNNNNNNNNNNNNNNNNNNNNNNNNNNNNNNNNNNNNNNNNNNNNNNNNNNNNNNNNNNNNNNNNNNNNNNNNNNNNNNNNNNNNNNNNNNNNNNNNNNNNNNNNNNNNNNNNNNNNNNNNNNNNNNNNNNNNNNNNNNNNNNNNNNNNNNNNNNNNNNNNNNNNNNNNNNNNNNNNNNNNNNNUGUUUAAAGUCUGCUGCCUGACCAACAGUGCUCUCCUGCAAUGCGUUCAUUAUCUCCCCGUCUGAUGCAAAAGUAUGGGUCUUAUUGGUCGAACUUGCCUUUUGGAGAAUACCUGCCGAAACAUCUCUGCUUGCCAUCCUUUGCAAAUUUGGCUCAUAUCACAAAGAUAUUAGGCACGUGUAAACUUGGUUCCUCAGUUAGCGAGAUGUUAAAUCAGGAGGCAACCCUUUCUUAUCGUAGCUUUGCUUUGAUUCCCAAAAUCCUGCUUCUGGAGCAGCUUUCUCAUCAACACAAUGGAAUCUUGCUAAAUACUUAUCGGCACUCUUGAGUUGCAGAUCUGGAGGAAUCUGCUGUGGGCCAGCCUGCUUUCACCACAAAGCCAUCCUUCUUCAAAAGCUCUCUCCAAACAAACUCCGCAUAGUGGGCAGAUUGAGUGAUAAGGCCUUAGUCUGCACAUCCAUAAACCGCCAUACAAGGUCAGGUUAUGCCCCCACUGCCACAAGAGAACUAUACUCAUGCCGCAGCACUUGAAGAUCAAUAAACCAUCUGAGGUCCGAGAACAAUGUAAUCCCUAUACAUUCCUGCAUCACUCAUUUGCAGCAAGUUUCUCAUUCUUCAAACACCCGAUCAGCAAGGUAGAUGGGGCACCUGUCCCCAAAGACAUUCUGCAGCCAGUAAUUCUCUUUCCCAUCCAUGCAUUCUCUUUGUAAGCCUAAGAUUGCAGGCAUGGCAGUCUCAACACAAAGUUUUGCAUCAUCUACACCAUCCCCAGCAUCAGCCAGAGAGAAUCUUGUAGCAUCAGCAGAGAAUUCCUCAAUUGCCUGAUGCAGUGUCCUGAAAUUUCCAGUAGACUUGCGACAUCUUCUCUGAAUUAAGCAUAAUAUGUCCAUUGCACCUGAAUCCACAAGGCCAGUGAUCCUUGGACAUGAUUGCUGGUGAUUGUAGAUGCAAAAUGUUAAAUGGUUCUGGAUAAGGUCUUUUCCAGAAACCCUAAGAUCAAAUGGAUACCAGUACUCAAACUCCUGCUUCAUCUUGUUAAGAACAGAGGAUGGGAUAUCAGAAGAUUUGGGAUACUGACCACCACAGAAGAGAAAUUCCCAGACCUCAUCAGUCAUCUGGGCAGGUUUAACCAGAUCAGCACUUUUUCCGUACAUGUCCCCAUUUUGUAAAAGAUGAGCAACUGUGUAAUAAGCCAUGUAAAUGGUUGAGUCGGAUAAUGACUCAACAAGGAAUUCUGCAUCCCAAGGAAUGCGAGUCCCAAGCCCAAAGGAUCGUGAGCAAGCCCAUUGGUUCAACCAUCCUAAAGUAUGUUCAAAGCCAUGUCGUGUCUCAUCAGAGUAUAGAUUCAUGUUGGAUAAGCACUCCUCAGCUAGUUGUUUCCAUUCCGGUUCACCAUAUGUGAUGUACCAUUGAUCUGUAAGAGCCACAACACACUCAUCACCAGACCUUGACAUAACCUUCUUCUCAGGCUCACUAUAAAUUAUUGCCUGGCCCGUCUCAAUCAGUUUGGUCCUUAUCAGUGCCUUAGCUUCAUGGACUCUUCUUCCUGCAUACUCUCCAACAGUCAUGGUUCCCUCUGUAAAACCUCUCAAGUACACCAACCUCUUCGCCUCAGCAAGCUUUUCUUUCUCAUUCUGACUUUUGAUUUUCAGAUCCACACAAACUUUUUCAGCUGCCCUGUCUCCAAAUUCUGGAAUGUCAAUGAUGGGUAUAAUCUCAAAUGGCAAUACCCAUUCAUCCUUCACCCCAAACUUUUCCCGAAAAGCGGGUUUUGCUUUCAAAUCAUGUAAGGCCAUAUAAUCAUCAGGAGCAUCGCUGGGAACACUGGUCACGAUCCCUGUACCUUUGUCCGUUAGAAUUGUCAUCAUUGGAAGAGCAUAUAUGAUCUCAUUAAAUGAGAGAGGAGAUUUUACAGGAAGACCAAUCAGAUCAUAACCAGUCAGUUCAACCAAGCAAGUAGGUUUUUCAGGGACGCGGGAGAGCUUCUGAUAAGCAAGGUUGAGUGCUGCUCUCUCAGUCAGAAUAAAUAUCUCAGUUUCAUUGAUUUCAAAGGCUCCGUAUUUCCCAUUAGGCAAAACCCAGCAGUUUGUUUGCCCAUACAUGGUCUCAGGCCUCAAUG
Molecule: long non-coding RNA, 28660 nt
Filed under: Durio zibethinus
Lineage: Eukaryota; Viridiplantae; Streptophyta; Magnoliopsida; Malvales; Malvaceae
Description: long non-coding RNA (DZIB_LNC001422)
Source: RNAcentral